Molecule: ribosomal RNA, 250 nt
Filed under: uncultured bacterium
Lineage: Bacteria
Description: partial 16S ribosomal RNA
Rfam family: Bacterial small subunit ribosomal RNA
Source: RNAcentral
GACGAACGCUGGCGGCGUGCUUAACACAUGCAAGUCGAACGAGAUCCAUGGUGUAGCAAUACACCGGAAGAUCUAGUGGCGAACGGGUGAGGAUCACGUGAGAAACCUGCCCCAGACUUUGGGAUAACAAGUGGAAACGCUUGCUAAUACCGAAUGACGUCGGAGAACCGCAUGGUUCACUGACGAAAGGAAUUCCGGUUUGGGAGGGUCUCGCGGCCUAUCAGCUUGUUGGUGGGGUAAUGGCCUACCA